Molecule: long non-coding RNA, 777 nt
Organism: Fukomys damarensis (Damara mole-rat)
Lineage: Eukaryota; Metazoa; Chordata; Mammalia; Rodentia; Bathyergidae
Exons: 3
Source: RefSeq, a predicted model, not a curated record
UUAACAUGGAGGCUGCUAUCCCAUGUGGCAGCCAUCUUAAAGCAAGGGAAAUCUAACAAGAUGGAUCCUCUUAGUUUCUCAGAGGGGCAUCUGUAAAGCCCUUGUUAGGCCUGAUAAGAGGCAGUUCACUUGAUUGUCUGGGCCUUUCCCACUUUUCCCUUGGGGCACUAACUCUGGCCUUUUCUCCUCAGGUGGGGUUCAGGGCUCCCUGUCAUCUGAUCCUGCUUCCCUGUGAGCUUGCCUCUGCAAAGGCAGGUAUGGCUCAGCUAUGAGAGUCUUGCAAUAUGCCUUCAAGCAGGGUUGUAAUCAGCUUCCACGUGAGAUGCAGGCAGCCCACCGUGGCUUCAGGGAAGGGUUCCUGCCCCUUCCCUUCCUCUCCCACCUAAGGGAGCCCUCUCUAAAUUCUUUGCAACACACCUGGCAGAAGCUGACACGUAAAGGAUGAGCAGUGCCCAAGUGAAGAGGAUGGAGACUUGGCCAUACUGGACAAAUACAAGAAAAUCCACAGAGGUCCUUCCUCAUGCAAGCAGCAGCGAAGCAAUCAUGAGAAUUGAAGUGGAAUGUGAUGUGGAAUGAGGCUGCAGCUGGAAGUGGUAGCAACUCCGAACCAUUCACUUUCAAGGGACCACUGAGAUCUGGGCAAUGCAGCCACCAGCAGUGACCACAGUUAACAACAUCAAUAAAAGUAAAUGUUCCGGGCCACAUUAUAGCCCAGGAAUUUCAUAUAAUCCUGGGAAAAUAAUGAGGAAGGUUCAUAAUGACCAAAAUAGAAUUUCU